This 477-nucleotide ribosomal RNA is filed under the name Candidatus Brocadia fulgida. RNAcentral describes it as "bacterial SSU rRNA". It matches the Rfam family "Bacterial small subunit ribosomal RNA", at positions 365 to 832 of the family's 1533-position model. Lineage: Bacteria; Pseudomonadati; Planctomycetota; Candidatus Brocadiia; Candidatus Brocadiales; Candidatus Brocadiaceae. The record is from RNAcentral.
UUCGCAAUGCCCGAAAGGGUGACGAAGCGACGCCGCGUGCGGGAAGAAGGCCCUCGGGUUGUAAACCGCUGUCGGGAGUUAAGAAAUGCAAGGGUGUUAAUAGUAUCCUUGCUUGACUAAGGCUCCGGAGGAAGCCACGGCCAACUCUGUGCCAGCAGCCGCGGUAAUACAGAGGCGGCAAGCGUUGUUCGGAAUUAUUGGGCGUAAAGAGCACGUAGGCGGCUGUGUAAGUCGGUUGUGAGAGCCUUCCGCUCAACGGGAGAACGGCAUCCGAUACUGCAUAGCUUGAGUGCGGGAGGGGAGAGUGGAACUUCUGGUGGAGCGGUGAAAUGCGUAGAUAUCAGAAGGAACACCGGCGGCGAAGGCGACUCUCUGGCCCGUAACUGACGCUGAGUGUGCGAAAGCUAGGGGAGCAAACGGGAUUAGAUACCCCGGUAGUCCUAGCCGUAAACGAUGGGCACUAAGUAGAGGGGUUUU